AUGAUGGCAGGGGCGACGCCGUGAUCACAAAGGUGGUUUUCCCAGGGCAAGGCUCACCCAUUGCACUUUGGAUGCCCCUGUGAUUUACUCAAAUGUGGGAAACUCGAUGGCAUAAUUUGUGCUAGUGGGGGGACUGCAUUCACAGUUUCUCC
RNAcentral lists this small nuclear RNA (152 nucleotides) under Ovis aries (sheep). RNAcentral's name for it is "U1 spliceosomal RNA (multiple genes)". It matches the Rfam family "U1 spliceosomal RNA". Rfam says of the family: U1 is a small nuclear RNA (snRNA) component of the spliceosome (involved in pre-mRNA splicing). Its 5' end forms complementary base pairs with the 5' splice junction, thus defining the 5' donor site of an intron. Lineage: Eukaryota; Metazoa; Chordata; Mammalia; Artiodactyla; Bovidae. The record is from RNAcentral.